Long non-coding RNA from Hippocampus zosterae (dwarf seahorse), 240 nucleotides. RefSeq lists it as uncharacterized. The record is from RefSeq and is a predicted model, not a curated record. The transcript has 2 exons. Lineage: Eukaryota; Metazoa; Chordata; Actinopteri; Syngnathiformes; Syngnathidae.
GUGUUUAAAACGUGAGGUGUCUGGGCAUGUGUAUCCAAUUUGGUACUAAAGUAAUUGCUUUUUUUAUAACGGUGCGUGGAUAUGCUUUUUCAUUUUGCUUGUAUAAUUUGGGAGUACUGGGAGUAUAAACUAUGGGAAAAUCCCUGGCUUUUGUCUUCUAUUUUGACGUACUAGUUCCUUUUUGUGUGACUGACAAAAGCUACAAGUUAAGUGUUUUUGCAUGCAUCUUGUCCAGUAAAA